GGAGUGUUGAUCUUACUUUCAAAGGCUUUUUAAAUUAAGCAUGGUGCUUAGGUUAAAAUGCUUUCCUAGAUUAAAGUAGACAUGGUGUCUAGUUUGAUUGUUUGGACCAAUAAUAUGUUGUAGUAGAUACUAGAUAUUUUGUUGGACUAAUCCCUACAAGGAACUCUCAAAUCAAUCUAGGUAAGUCAUAUGAUAAAUUCAAAUCAGAGAUGAAGCAAGGCACAUGAUGAACUUCAAUUACUUUGCACAAGAAGACACAACUCAUUCUUCAUAGAUUUAAGAGCUACAUAUUCAACAUAGAUGGAAGAACUAUGAGUAUCAAUGUUCGUUCACUUUAUCUUCUACUACAAGUUACUAUUUUCCUUAAGUCAUGCUCGUAUAGAACAUGAUAAAUAAAAUCUAUGCUAAAAUAAUCUCAAACACUAUCUUUUCAUUAGCAUAGAAGGAACACAAUAAAACUCUUGAUAAACAACCUGCAUUUCAAAAUUGUAUAUUCCUUCGGGUAUGUGUUGUCCACUAAUAUAUUGUAGGCAUAAUAAUGAGCAAAGUGGAAAGAAUAACAAGAUCAAAGAAUCAAAAAAAUAUGGCAUGAAAAAAGAAAAGAAAUAAGAAGUGCAAUAGAUGAGACAAGAUGCUCAUAAACAGCUUAAGCAAGGAAAGCUUCAAGUUGGAAGAGAAGAUCACCACAAGUCAUCUACCCUUCAUUACAUGGUCUCAUCACACUCCAAUGAUGAAGGUAACAUUUUGAGGUAAGUGGUCAUUGUUUUCCUCUUGAUCUUGGCAUGUACAUAAAUGAAGAAACAAACAUGUUUGAGUUACAAUUUCACUUGAUCCAACUUGAUUACUCAACAUGUUUAGAUCUUUAAACUUGAUUCUAGCAUUCACUUUAUUGAUCCCAUAAUCUUAACCAAGUGAGCCAAAAGUGCUCAUUUUAAUUUUGGAAUGUAAAGAUUGAUACAUUAUGCAUAGAUAGACAUUCUUCCAUGGGUUAAGCAAUUUAAAUCUUUUAUGCCACAUACUUAAAUGCUACAUUCAUACUAGUUCUUCUGAUCUUACCACUCAAGUUAUAAGUAAACAAAUUAUGCAACAUUAGCUUUGUCUUGUUCAAUGUGCCUAAGGUUAGAGAAGAAUAAAGAAAAAGAGUUAUGGUUCUCUUGGUGUUUUACAACCAAUAGGGCUAAUGCACUUGAUCUCUACCUUGUUUUUAUAAGCAAGACACUUUGAGCAAAAUAUGGAGGAGUUUGCACUACUACAUAAUUUUUUACCGCGGUGGGCAAAAUCACUUUACCGAGGCGGGCAAACCGACCACCUCAAAGGAAAGGUCACCACUAAUCAAUGUUAACUGAGGUGGUCCUAAUGUCUGCCUCAAUAAAUCAAUCAUGAAAAACAAAAAUAAAUAAAUAUAAAAACCUAGAUAAGCCUACUGAGCCCAUCCACGGCCCACCGAGCCUAUCCCUGGCCGCUGAAUCCGCACAUGCGCAUCGCCUCUCAUCAGGGCCGCCCUCCACCAAAUCCACCAUGUCAAUGCCACUUGAUCCGCUUGUCAGGCCGCCCAUCACUGGAUCUACUUGUCAUGGCCUCCCAGAGUGCCGCUGCAGCUAGAUCCACCUCCUCAAAGUGCCACCGCCACCAGGAGAGCCCUCCUUGAGUGCUAGCACAACCAGAUCUGCCUCCUUCAAACACCGUCACGCCCG
Molecule: long non-coding RNA, 1694 nt
Filed under: Sorghum bicolor (sorghum)
Lineage: Eukaryota; Viridiplantae; Streptophyta; Magnoliopsida; Poales; Poaceae
Description: long non-coding RNA (SBIC_LNC002262)
Source: RNAcentral